Long non-coding RNA from Macadamia integrifolia, 1542 nucleotides. RefSeq lists it as uncharacterized. The record is from RefSeq and is a predicted model, not a curated record. Lineage: Eukaryota; Viridiplantae; Streptophyta; Magnoliopsida; Proteales; Proteaceae. The transcript has 2 exons.
AAAGCCAGUGAAACACCGCCCUAGUUAUUGGAAUAUAUAUUUUUAUUCACUUGUCCCUGAUAGGACCACCGAUCUGUAACGGCUUCCUUCACUAGCAGCCGUGGAUUCCUUUCAAGGGUUUCUAGAAAUUAGGGUUCCCAACAUGUUCUUUUCUUUCCUUGUUCUUAAUCGAUUGCUGAGGUUUUCCUGUCUGUUUGGAUCUGCUCCUAUUGUUCACUCUCCCAUGAACUGUGUAGAUAGUAUCUUCUUCUUUCUAUCGCCGCCGGUUUUAUUCCGAUUGCUUUUGCCCUCCCGGUUCCUUCUAGCCAUGGCUAUGAUUUAUGGUUCUCUCUUCUCUGGUCUUGGCACGAUUGAGAAGAUCUUCACCUCGUAUGAUUGUUCCGGCGAGUCUUGAUCUCCGUAUGAUUGUCUAUGUGGUGGGUGAAGCUUGGAAGAUUUUUGAUCUCCACUGUUGUUGAUGUUCUUAUCAUCAAUUCAUAUGGAGGUAGUUCAGAGCUUCAGAGAGGUGCUGGGGUUCACAGAAGAUCAGAUCUCAUCCUUCGAGAGAUUUCUGGCUUGGUUUUAGGUUCUGUUUCAAUGCCGUGAAUGUUGGGUGAGAAGAUCGGUGGGUGGUGCAGAAAUCUCUUCUUACUUACGAGUGGUUAUAACUCCUGGAAGCUCAGUGAAUCCGAUGUUUAGAGAAGUGAGAUAGGAAAAGAGAGAGAUAGGUGAGGUAGUAAAGGAUGUAAAAGAGAUCGUUACAAAGCCCUAAGUGAUGCAAGGGCAUGAUAUCGAAUCCUCUUUGUCAUCAUCAGACCUUUGCCAUGUCAGGUGCGCUUGCAUGGCAGGUCACAAAAGUUAAUAAACAUUUAUCUUUUUUGGUUUCGUGGGGAAACCGCACGGGUUUUCUGCCCGGGGUCUCUCCAUCGUUGCGUGGCUCGCCUCUUCGCUUUUCUUUUCUUUUCUUUUCUUGGUAUCCGAACAUAAUCUCAGUGCUCCUCCACUGGGUUUCUGGUGGUACUUGCAAACUAGCGCUGCAAUCUGUAAAUGUACAUCUACAAACAACAGAGUUGUGGAACCUGUUCGAUGCGUUCAAAUUCCCAGUAGUUCAUUCACGAACGGAGUCGAAGAGGAACCAACUUGAAGCAUUUGAAAUCCCUGAGGUACAUUUGCGAUGCACCAAUCCCAGUCGUUCUAAUUUUUUAAUUCUGCAUUAGAUUUGUCACUUCACCUAAUCUCAGCAUUAUUGAUUAGAAUUAAGCAUAGAAUCUUGCAACUCCAUUAAAGUUUGCCUUAUAGCAUGAAAUAGUUCUAUGAAUCGUUUUUCCUGGAAAUAGCAACACUAGAUCUCUUCCCCCAGAUGAUUAAAAAUCUCCAAAAUCAGUGAAAAUGGUUCGUUCUUCAUCUAUGAACGGAUUUUCCUGGAAAUAGCAACACUCCCCAUCUCCCAGAUGAUUAAAAAUGUCCAAAAAUCAGGGAAAAUGGUUCCUUCUUUAUCUAUGGACGGAUUUUCUUGGAAAUAGCAACACUCCCCAUCCCCAGAUGAUUAAAAAUCUCCAAAAA